Molecule: ribosomal RNA, 460 nt
Filed under: uncultured bacterium
Lineage: Bacteria
Description: partial 16S ribosomal RNA
Rfam family: Bacterial small subunit ribosomal RNA
Source: RNAcentral
CCUACGGGAGGCAGCAGUGAGGAAUAUUGGUCAAUGGACGAGAGUCUGAACCAGCCAAGUAGCGUGAAGGAUGACUGCCCUAUGGGUUGUAAACUUCUUUUAUAUGGGAAUAAAACGUUCCACGUGUGGGAUUUUGUAUGUACCAUAUGAAUAAGGAUCGGCUAACUCCGUGCCAGCAGCCGCGGUAAUACGGAGGAUCCGAGCGUUAUCCGGAUUUAUUGGGUUUAAAGGGAGCGUAGGUGGAUUGUUAAGUCAGUUGUGAAAGUUUGCGGCUCAACCGUAAAAUUGCAGUUGAAACUGGCAGUCUUGAGUAAGGUAGAGGUGGGCGGAAUUCGUGGUGUAGCGGUGAAAUGCUUAGAUAUCACGAAGAACUCCGAUUGCGAAGGCAGUUCACUGGACUGCAACUGACACUGAGGCUCGAAAGUGUGGGUAUCAAACAGGAUUAGAUACCCGGGUAGUC